CCUACGGGAGGCAGCAGUGAGGAAUAUUGGACAAUGGGCGCAAGCCUGAUCCAGCCAUGCCGCGUGCAGGAAGAAGCAUCUAUGGUGUGUAAACUGCUUUUGUACAGGAAGAAACACUCCCUCGUGAGGGAGCUUGACGGUACUGUAAGAAUAAGGACCGGCUAACUCCGUGCCAGCAGCCGCGGUAAUACGGAGGGUCCGAGCGUUAUCCGGAAUCAUUGGGUUUAAAGGAUCCGUAGGCGGUUUAAUAAGUCAGUGGUGAAAUCUGGUCGCUCAACGAUCAAACGGCCAUUGAUACUGUUAGACUUGAAUUAUAAGGAAGUAACUAGAAUAUGUAGUGUAGCGGUGAAAUGCUUAGAUAUUACAUGGAAUACCAAUUGCGAAGGCAGGUUACUACUUAUGGAUUGACGCUGAUGGACGAAAGCGUGGGGAGCGAACAGGAUUAGAUACCCUGGUAGUCCACGCCGUAAACGAUGGAUACUAGCUGUUCGGAGCAAUCUGAGUGGCUAAGCGAAAGUGAUAAGUAUCCCACCUGGGGAGUACGUUCGCAAGAAUGAAACUCAAAUGAAAUUGACGG
Molecule: ribosomal RNA, 577 nt
Filed under: uncultured bacterium
Lineage: Bacteria
Description: bacterial SSU rRNA
Rfam family: Bacterial small subunit ribosomal RNA
Source: RNAcentral